GGCACCACAAAAUAGAAGCUCAUUCUAGUCUGCAUUUAAUUGGAUAUGCAGGGUAUUUUCAGCUUCAGAACCUCUUACCCUGAUAGCCUUGGGGGUUUGUUUGGCCAACAUUUGCCUUUAAUCCCCAAUGGGUGGAAGUACAAAUGACGGGUACCCAUUCUUAAAGUCGUGUUGCAGACACCUUGGAGACAUGCAGUUUCAGGUAAAUGGAGGCAGGGAUAUGCAAUGCCAUAAAAAAAAAAUAUAUAUAUUUGCAAUAUACAUCACUUCAGUUUCUAUAUAGACACGCCAUUUCACAUUCACAACCCCCAUGCCCUCAAAAUACGAAAAAAAAAAACCCAAGACUUGAGUGUACAAUUUAAAAUGUUUUAUCACAUAUAAUAGACUUCAAUUCAGCAGAUCCCUAAUAUUCAGGACACAAAUGCAGCAGAUUCUAAAUUUUGUUAUAAUAGAGAAAGCAUUUCCCCAGAUGUCAGUGUUACAUAUCAUAAAUAUCUGAUCUCUUAAAACACUAAAUGAAUAUCUGUACAAGCCCGUCCAUGAAAGAAAAGUGAGGGCGGAAGCAAAAGCCAGUUUGUAUUAUUUUUUAAAUUUUAUUAUUCGUUAAUUUGCUAGUGUCAACAGUGGACACAAUCCAUUUCUUAAAAGGUGUACUAUAAAACAGCCAAGUGGCUGUUACCACAGUGGCAUCUGGUACCUUAGAAUAAGCAUAUUUUCCACAGUUUACAGUUACAGUUUAUUGAAGUAUUUGUAGAAUUGUAUGGAUGUUGCAUGCAGAAAAUAAUAUUGCACUUCCACCAGCCAUCAUUUACAUGUGUUUUAUGUAAAAAACAAAACAAACGUAUUUGUGUUUAAAUAUAUACCAAGAAAUGGUGGGGAAAUAUUGUAAAGUUAGUGGAUAGUAAAAACAUUGUGAAACACAGAUCUGCAUACCAGUCAAGCCAUAAGACUUGCUUUUCACACAAAUCUCAAAUUUACAGUGAUAUACAGCAAACUAAGAAAUCCAUGUUUAAAAUGGAAUGAGGCAAAUAUGUGAUUUUUUUUUUUUAAACUAAUUUGCAGAAGCAACAUCACUUAAUUUGAGAUUUGUGUGUGAAAAGCAAGCCUUAUGGCUUGACUGGUGUGCAGAUCUGUGUUCAACAAUGUAUUGACUAAAAAAA
This is a non-coding RNA of Pelobates cultripes (western spadefoot toad), 1160 nucleotides long. Lineage: Eukaryota; Metazoa; Chordata; Amphibia; Anura; Pelobatidae. The record is from the annotation of a GenBank genome assembly.